RNAcentral lists this ribosomal RNA (300 nucleotides) under uncultured Methanosarcina sp. RNAcentral describes it as "bacterial SSU rRNA". The stretch from base 52 to 300 matches the Rfam family "Bacterial small subunit ribosomal RNA", at positions 547 to 795 of the family's 1533-position model. Lineage: Archaea; Methanobacteriati; Methanobacteriota; Methanomicrobia; Methanosarcinales; Methanosarcinaceae. The record is from RNAcentral.
GUAUGUUCUGUUGGACGUAGUGGGGGAAGAUGGAGGAGGUAAGAGUUUGCGGGAUGUAGUGGGUGUUAUGGGUGCGGAGGUGGAAGAUGAAGGCUGUGGUGAAAGCAUGCAGCUUAGCUGGAGGACUGUUGUUGAUACUGGUAUUUGUGAAUGCAGGGUAGGGAGGAGGCAUUUGUAAUGUAGCGGUGAAAUGCGUAGAUAUUACACAGAACACCGAUUGCGAAGGCAGCUUACUAAACGGUGAUUGACGCGGAGGCUCGAAAGCGUGGGAAGCAAACAGGAUUAGAUACCCCUGUAGUC